This 738-nucleotide ribosomal RNA is filed under the name Triticum aestivum (bread wheat). RNAcentral describes it as "partial small subunit ribosomal RNA". The record is from RNAcentral. Lineage: Eukaryota; Viridiplantae; Streptophyta; Magnoliopsida; Poales; Poaceae.
AUGUUUUCCUCGCAGUCCGCUAGCCGCAUCAACAACAUCCGAACCUCCCUCAUCAACGCACAGAAGGGCAACCUCUCCGUUGCCUCCUACUUCGCCGCCAUGCGCGGCUACGCCGACGAGCUCGCAGCCGCGGGCAAGGCGAUCCCCGACGAUGAACUGGCCUCCUACAUCAUCCACGGGCUCGACGCCGACUAUCAGCCCCUAGUCUCUGCCCUAGACGCCCGCGUGACCCAGGUAACCCUUGAUGAGCUCUUUGCCAUGCUGUCAAAUUUCGAUCAAUGCAUGGCACAGUUCCAAGGAUCCGGCGGCGGCGGCUUCAAGUCGUCCGCGAACAUGGCCACUCGUGGACGGGGUGGCGGCUCCCGAUCGCGUGGCUCCUCUCGCACCAAGGGCAGGUUCGGCGGCGGCAACCGUGGCUCCACGCCACCUCAAUCUGGAGGCCGUGGUCGUCGUGGCCGCGACACUGGUGGUGGUGGCCGAAACUGCCCCGACGCUCCCCGUUGUCAGAUCUGCAGCAAGCCUGGCCACACAGCGAAGGACUGCUGGUACAGGUAUGAGGAGGACGACUAUGACUCGCAAGAUGAGGAGAAAGUUGCUGCGGCGGCUGAUGGCUCCUAUGGUGUCGACACAAAUUGGUACGUCGACAGUGGAGCCACUAACCACAUCACCAACGAGCUCGAGAAAGUCACCAUGAAGGAAAAAUACCGUGGCAAGGAUCAAAUCCACACUGCCAGCUGA